This 274-nucleotide ribosomal RNA is filed under the name uncultured bacterium. Its description in RNAcentral is "partial 16S ribosomal RNA". It matches the Rfam family "Bacterial small subunit ribosomal RNA", at positions 523 to 796 of the family's 1533-position model. The record is from RNAcentral.
CUGCGGAGGGUGCAAGCGUUAUUCGGAAUCACUGGGCGUAAAGGACGCGUAGGCGGGUUGGCAAGUCAGAUGUGAAAUCCUACAGCUUAACUGUAGAACUGCAUUUGAAACUGCUAACCUAGAGUAUGGGAGGGGGGGAUGGAAUUAGUGGUGUAGGGGUAAAAUCCGUAGAUAUCACUAGGAAUACCGAAAGCGAAGGCGAUCUCCUGGAACAUAACUGACGCUAAGGCGUGAAAGCGUGCGGAGCAAACAGGAUUAGAAACCCUAGUAGUCC